RNAcentral lists this long non-coding RNA (402 nucleotides) under Rattus norvegicus (Norway rat). RNAcentral describes it as "long non-coding RNA NONRATT016638". The record is from RNAcentral. Lineage: Eukaryota; Metazoa; Chordata; Mammalia; Rodentia; Muridae.
UUCAAGUCCCAGACUCUGUAACAGUGAGCUUACAUCAGCUGUAAGUCCAGCUUCAGGGCAGUUCUAGGUUCAAAGGAUAUAAUCUGGACAUGGAAUUUCAGAUUGAAGACUCUUCUAUUAAAUCUUGAUAAGGCCAUCCAGUAAAGAAAAAGACUAUCAAAGGCACACCACAGAGACUGAGCAAUUAGACACUGACUGAGACAUUACUGAUUUAUGAAGGGUGAUACCAAUCUCAAUGUCGUAUAUUUACUCAGGAGCAAUGCCACAAAAUAGUAAAGCCACUGCAAACAGGACACUGGGAACAUGAAUGUCAUUCAACUCAAAAAUAGAUGUCAUUUAACAAAAGCAUGUCUAAUAAGAGUAGAGGAAACAGACCUGGCUGGGAAGAGUUGAAAAGUUAUG